UACGAAGGGGGCGAGCGUUGUUCGGAUUUACUGGGCGUAAAGGGCGCGUAGGCGGCCAUUCAAGUCAGGCGUGAAAGCCCCGGGCUCAACCUGGGAGGUGCGCUUGGGACUGGGUGGCUGGAGUUCGGGAGAGGAGAGUGGAAUUCCCAGUGUAGAGGUGAAAUUCGUAGAUAUUAGGAAGAACACCAGUGGCGAAGGCGGCUCACUGGUCCGGUACUGACGCUGAGGUGCGAAAGCGUGGGGAGCAAACAGG
RNAcentral lists this ribosomal RNA (253 nucleotides) under uncultured bacterium. RNAcentral's name for it is "partial 16S ribosomal RNA". It matches the Rfam family "Bacterial small subunit ribosomal RNA", at positions 524 to 776 of the family's 1533-position model. The record is from RNAcentral.